This 417-nucleotide unclassified non-coding RNA is filed under the name Ascomycota cf. Leotiomycetes OTU_025. RNAcentral describes it as "sequence contains ITS1, 5.8S rRNA gene and ITS2". The stretch from base 124 to 277 matches the Rfam family "5.8S ribosomal RNA". The record is from RNAcentral. Lineage: Eukaryota; Fungi; Ascomycota.
CGUGUUUACAUACCUUUGUUGCUUUGGCGGGCCGCCGCUUCGGCGUUGGCUCCGGCUGACUGCGCCCGCCAGAGGACCACAACUCUUUUGUUUACUAAUGUCAGAGUACUAUAUAAUAGUUAAAACUUUCAACAACGGAUCUCUUGGUUCUGGCAUCGAUGAAGAACGCAGCGAAAUGCGAUAAGUAAUGUGAAUUGCAGAAUUCAGUGAAUCAUCGAAUCUUUGAACGCACAUUGCGCCCCUUGGUAUUCCGAGGGGCAUGCCUGUUCGAGCGUCAUUAUAACCACUCAAGCCUCGGCUUGGUCUUGGGGUCCCGCGGUCUCGCGGCCCUUAAAAUCAGUGGCGGUGCCGUCUGGCUUUAAGCGUAGUAAUUCUCUCGUUAUAGGGUCCAGGUGGCGCUGCCAAAACCCCCCAUUU